UGCUUGUAACAUAUAAUUUCA
Caenorhabditis elegans is the source of this 21-nucleotide non-coding RNA. The record is from Ensembl. NCBI's taxonomy places the organism in Eukaryota, Metazoa, Nematoda, Chromadorea, Rhabditida, Rhabditidae.